UGGGGAAUAUUGGGCAAUGGGCGCAAGCCUGACCCAGCAACGCCGCGUGAAGGAUGAAGGCUUUCGGGUUGUAAACUUCUUUUAUCAGGGACGAAUUAAGUGACGGUACCUGAUGAAUAAGCCACGGCUAACUACGUGCCAGCAGCCGCGGUAAUACGUAGGUGGCAAGCGUUAUCCGGAUUUACUGGGUGUAAAGGGCGUGUAGGCGGGACUGCAAGUCAGGUGUGAAAACCACGGGCUCAACCUGUGGCCUGCAUUUGAAACUGUAGUUCUUGAGUGCUGGAGAGGCAAUCGGAAUUCCGUGUGUAGCGGUGAAAUGCGUAGAUAUACGGAGGAACACCAGUGGCGAAGGCGGAUUGCUGGACAGUAACUGACGCUGAGGCGCGAAAGCGUGGGGAGCAAACAGG
Molecule: ribosomal RNA, 407 nt
Filed under: uncultured bacterium
Lineage: Bacteria
Description: bacterial SSU rRNA
Rfam family: Bacterial small subunit ribosomal RNA
Source: RNAcentral